GUUGGCGAUCCGCGUGGGUGCGAUCCGACGGCCCAGAUCAAUCACGCGAUCGGACGGCCCAGAUUCAAUCGCACGGACGGCCCAGAUUCAAUCAAAAAACGAACGGCCCAGAUUAAAACAAAAUGAACGGCUGUGAUCAAAAGGCAAGGGGUUAUAAAUAGAACCCCCACACCAGACCACAAACCCUAGCCGCCAGCCGCUCGCCGGAGAAGACGAACCAGAGGCCGACCGCCGCCACCCGCCGCCAGUCGCCGCCGCACCGGGGA
RNAcentral lists this long non-coding RNA (266 nucleotides) under Carica papaya (papaya). RNAcentral's name for it is "long non-coding RNA (CPAP_LNC014459)". Lineage: Eukaryota; Viridiplantae; Streptophyta; Magnoliopsida; Brassicales; Caricaceae. The record is from RNAcentral.